GACGAACGCUGGCGGCGUGCUUAACACAUGCAAGUCGAACGGAAAGGCCCUGCUUUUGUGGGGUGCUCGAUUGGCGAACGGGUGAGUAACACGUGAGUAACCUGCCCUUGUCUUUGGGAUAACUUCAGGAAACUGGGGCUAAUACCGGAUAGGAUCUCCUGCUCCAUGGUGUGGGUUGGAAAGUUUCGGCGGUUGGGGAUGGACUCGCGGCUUAUCAGCUUGUUGGUGGGGUAGUGGCUUACCAAGGCUUUGACGGGUAGCCGGCCUGAGAGGGUGACCGGCCACAUUGGGACUGAGAUACGGCCCAGACUCCUACGGGAGGCAGCAGUGGGGAAUAUUGCACAAUGGGCGGAAGCCUGAUGCAGCAACGCCGCGUGCGGGAUGACGGCCUUCGGGUUGUAAACCGCUUUCGCCUGUGACGAAGCGUGAGUGACGGUAAUGGGUAAAGAAGCACCGGCUAACUACGUG
This 468-nucleotide ribosomal RNA is filed under the name uncultured bacterium. Its description in RNAcentral is "partial 16S ribosomal RNA". It matches the Rfam family "Bacterial small subunit ribosomal RNA", at positions 28 to 507 of the family's 1533-position model. The record is from RNAcentral.